This is a long non-coding RNA of Globicephala melas (long-finned pilot whale), 404 nucleotides long. RefSeq lists it as uncharacterized. The record is from RefSeq and is a predicted model, not a curated record. Lineage: Eukaryota; Metazoa; Chordata; Mammalia; Artiodactyla; Delphinidae.
GAAACCGAAGCCCAGAGACAAGUGACCCACAGGGUGUCACAUGGUGAGCGGUGCGUCAGUGACAAAGUAUAUGCUGAGAUACUCAGUCACCAGCUGUCAAGAAGUACGAGAGAACUCCAGCCCACCCUCAGGCAAAAGGGGAGCUCCUCCAUCCUCAGCAACAUAUGGCUUUCAAGUAAGCUGUGAUAUUCUGUAUAAAUCCAGAGGAAAGGAAAAUAGCAUGGAAGAGUGUGCGAGACAGGAUUUUAUGGAUGUGACCGGAAAGUAAUAUAUGUCGCUUCCAUUCACACUCCAUUGGCCAGAACCCAGUUGCCAGGCUGCAUCCACCUGCAAGGUUCCCCAGGGUGUGGAGAGGCUAAGAAGCCUCCACGUUCCCGGCUGGAGCUUACCUUUCUCGGUACAGG